UACGAAGGGGGCUAGCGUUGUUCGGAAUUACUGGGCGUAAAGCGCACGUAGGCGGACUACUAAGUCAGGGGUGAAAUCCCGGGGCUCAACCCCGGAACUGCCUUUGAUACUGGUAGUCUCGAGUCCGGAAGAGGUGAGUGGAAUUCCGAGUGUAGAGGUGAAAUUCGUAGAUAUUCGGAGGAACACCAGUGGCGAAGGCGGCUCACUGGUCCGGUACUGACGCUGAUGCGCGAAAGCGUGGGGAGCAAACAGG
RNAcentral lists this ribosomal RNA (253 nucleotides) under uncultured bacterium. RNAcentral describes it as "partial 16S ribosomal RNA". It matches the Rfam family "Bacterial small subunit ribosomal RNA", at positions 524 to 776 of the family's 1533-position model. The record is from RNAcentral.